GUGCCCACCAGGAAAACUGCUGCUUGUGUUAUCAAGAAUUUAAAGGCCAUGCUAUCCAUCAUGUGUUACCUCACAUUGGUGUUCCCCGCUUCUUUCACUCAGAAUGCUAACUCUUCAGAGACACAGGAAAGUGCCAGUUUCAACAAAUGUUGUGAUUAUCUACAGGCAAGCCAUGCAACACCCGUUAAACAUUAAUAUAAAACUACUGCUCAUCUUUAAAGCAAUGAUUUAAAGCCAUAAAUGUAACAGGAAGAUCUAAUUCUGGAAGACAUACAAAUGCCGAAAGGAAAAUUAAAGCCACUUACCCCGAGGAAGAGAUGAAGGUGAAGAACUUUCUGGGCCUGAGUCUGUGGGAACACAGAAGAAAGAAAGAAGAACUGAGACUUAAAUGAAGCUUAACUGGUACAUCUGGACUCUGAUGAGUGAGAAGUCCAAGCAAAUAGAAAAGCCACAGCCA
Molecule: long non-coding RNA, 457 nt
Filed under: Homo sapiens (human)
Lineage: Eukaryota; Metazoa; Chordata; Mammalia; Primates; Hominidae
Description: HSALNT0185439
Source: RNAcentral